AAAAAUGGCGGCCACGAGCUCUCUCUUCUCUCUAUCCUUCGCUCCUUCCCGAAGGCGCUCGAUACCCCUCUCUCGUUCGGCGAAUCCCUCUUCCGCCCCUUCCGACCUCUCCUCGAAGCCUCAACUAAUCGAGCUCGAAUUUCUCGGACCGAAGGCCGGAGGUGAUGGUUCUUCUCCUGUGGACAGGGUGACUGCGAUCAGCGGAGAGAAGCUCCUCCGCAACAUCAUGUUGGAGAACAAGAUCGAGCUCUAUGCCGCAUAUGGGAAAGUGAUGAAUUGUGGCGGUAGGGGAAGCUGCGGCACGUGCAUUGUGGAGAUUAUUGAUGGCAAGGAACUCUUGAAUGAGCGAACAAACACUGAACUUCGGUACCUGAAAAAGAGAUGCUGAAAUGACUGCCGCACCGUUCUCAAUGUCGCUCAAGAAACCCGAGUCUUGGAGACUUGCCUGUCAAACUAUCGUAGGCAAUAAAGAAAACUCUGGCAAGCUUCACAAGAUCACGUGAAGGAUAUUUGUUUAGAAGGGCUAUGUUGGUAUUACUUCGGUUGAGAAGGGCGUUUUGAACAGCUCAAUAAAGUUAAAGGGGGCUAUUUGCGCAAGUUUUGCAAGUUCAAUGGGUGUAGUUGUCCAGCGAAUGCCCCAAUGGAAGAAAUGAUUUGUGCACCUUUGUUGAUUAUGGUUCAAAUCACUUUGCUAUAUUAUUCAUUGUAUUUGAAAUACACAAAUAUUAAACCCAUUUUGGUGUUCAAUAGUAUUUUUAUUUAUAUUGGAGUGUAGAAUGUGGGAGACAAAGAAAUAAGGUUCGCGACACACGGAUCUUUCAAAAUAAAGUUUAAAUGAAUGAUUAUUUUUAAUCCUAGUAA
Ananas comosus (pineapple) is the source of this 861-nucleotide RNA transcript. It is a transcript of the gene named photosynthetic NDH subunit of subcomplex B 3, chloroplastic-like, with no coding region annotated. The record is from RefSeq and is a predicted model, not a curated record. The transcript has 8 exons. NCBI's taxonomy places the organism in Eukaryota, Viridiplantae, Streptophyta, Magnoliopsida, Poales, Bromeliaceae.